This 528-nucleotide ribosomal RNA is filed under the name uncultured bacterium. RNAcentral describes it as "bacterial SSU rRNA". It matches the Rfam family "Bacterial small subunit ribosomal RNA", at positions 777 to 1304 of the family's 1533-position model. The record is from RNAcentral.
AAUAGAUACCCUGGUAGUCCACGCCGUAAACGAUGUCGACUUGGAGGUUGUGCCCUUGAGGCGUGGCUUCCGGAGCUAACGCGUUAAGUCGACCGCCUGGGGAGUACGGCCGCAAGGUUAAAACUCAAAUGAAUUGACGGGGGCCCGCACAAGCGGUGGAGCAUGUGGUUUAAUUCGAUGCAACGCGAAGAACCUUACCUACUCUUGACAUCCAGAGAACUUGGCAGAGAUGCUUCGGUGCCUUCGGGAACUCUGAGACAGGUGCUGCAUGGCUGUCGUCAGCUCGUGUUGUGAAAUGUUGGGUUAAGUCCCGCAACGAGCGCAACCCUUAUCCUUUGUUGCCAGCGGUUAGGCCGGGAACUCAAAGGAGACUGCCAGUGAUAAACUGGAGGAAGGUGGGGAUGACGUCAAGUCAUCAUGGCCCUUACGAGUAGGGCUACACACGUGCUACAAUGGCGCAUCAAAAGAGAAGCGACCUCGCGAGAGCAAGCGGACCUCAUAAAAGUGCGUCGUAGUCCGGAUUGGAGU